Molecule: ribosomal RNA, 497 nt
Filed under: uncultured archaeon
Lineage: Archaea
Description: bacterial SSU rRNA
Rfam family: Archaeal small subunit ribosomal RNA
Source: RNAcentral
GUAACACGUAGUCAACAUGCCCAGGGGACGUGGAUAACCUCGGGAAACUGAGGAUAAACCGCGAUAAGUCACUACUUCUGGAAUGGGUAAUGACUAAAAUCUACAUGGCCCCUGGAUUGGACUGCGGCCGAUCAGGCUGUUGGUGAGGUAAUGGCCCACCAAACCUGUAACCGGUACGGGCUCUGAGAGGAGGAGCCCGGAGAUGGGCACUGAGACAAGGGCCCAGGCCCUAUGGGGCGCAGCAGGCGCGAAACCUCUGCAAUAGGCGAAAGCCUGACAGGGUUACUCUGAGUGAUUUCCGUUAAGGAGAUCUUUUGGCACCUCUAAAAAUGGUGCAGAAUAAGGGGUGGGCAAGUCUGGUGUCAGCCGCCGCGGUAAUACCAGCACCCCGAGUGGUCAGGACGUUUAUUGGGCCUAAAGCAUCCGUAGCCGGUUCUACAAGUCUUCCGUUCAAUCCACCUGAUCAGCGGAUGGGCUGCAAAAGAUACUAUGGAGCU